This is a long non-coding RNA of Tarenaya hassleriana, 361 nucleotides long. RefSeq lists it as uncharacterized. Lineage: Eukaryota; Viridiplantae; Streptophyta; Magnoliopsida; Brassicales; Cleomaceae. The record is from RefSeq and is a predicted model, not a curated record. The transcript is spliced from 2 exons.
AAGAGCGGUGUUGUCAUGUUCAAGGCUUUGAUGAGCAUUAGCAAGUCCAGAAAAGACAGGAUGUGAUGUACAAACCCGCCAAUUCAACUCGAAUGUUUCUUUUAAAACGUUGCACGCCGUCGUCUGAUAUGGGGUUCCAUUCCAUAGGAGAAGAAAUGCCCGGGUUCGGGAUAAAGUUAUUCUGGGCAGGGAUAAAGAAUAGCUCGCUGACAAGCAGAAAGCGACUUGCCAAGUGGGCCUUUGUGUUUUUCGUUACAACGAUAGUGUAACACAAGAAAAAAACAUCUUUGUAUUUCAAACCCAUAAACAAUUUUUUUUUUUAUAAUGAUCAUACACAAAGAACUUCGGGUUUUUUAGAGCC